AACGAACGCUGGCGGCAUGCCUAACACAUGCAAGUCGAACGAGACCUUCGGGUCUAGUGGCGCACGGGUGCGUAACGCGUGGGAACCUGCCCUUAGGUUCGGAAUAACACCCCGAAAGGGGUGCUAAUAACGGAUAAUGUCUUCGGACCAAAGAUUUAUCGCCUUUGGAUGGGCCCGCGUUGUAUUAGCUAGGUGGUAGGGUAUAAGCCUACCAAGGCGACGAUCCAUAGCUGGUCUGUGAGGAUGCUCAGCCACACUGGGACGGAGACCCGGCCCCGACUCCUACGAGAGGCAGCAGUGGGGAAUAUUGGACAAUGGGCGUGAGCCUGAUCCACCAAUGCCGCGUGAGUGAUGUAGGCCUUAGGGUUGUAAAGCGCUUUUAACCGAGAUGAUAAUGACAGUACCGGGAGAAUAAGCUCCGGCUAACUCCGUG
RNAcentral lists this ribosomal RNA (433 nucleotides) under uncultured bacterium. RNAcentral describes it as "partial 16S ribosomal RNA". It matches the Rfam family "Bacterial small subunit ribosomal RNA", at positions 29 to 507 of the family's 1533-position model. The record is from RNAcentral.